GAUGAACGCUGGCGGCGUGCCUAAUACAUGCAAGUCGAGCGAACAGACGAGGAGCUUGCUCCUCUGACGUUAGCGGCGGACGGGUGAGUAACACGUGGAUAACCUACCUAUAAGACUGGGAUAACUUCGGGAAACCGGAGCUAAUACCAGAUAAUAUAUUGAACCGCAUGGUUCAAUAGUGAAAGACGGUUUUGCUGUCACUUAUAGCUGGAUCCGCGCCGCAUUAGCUAGUUGGUAAGGUAACGGCUUACCAAGGCAACGAUGGGUAGCCGACCUGAGAGGGUGAUCGGCCACACUGGAACUGAGACACGGUCCAGACUCCUACGGGAGGCAGCAGUAGGGAAUCUUCCGCAAUGGGCGAAAGCCUGACGGAGCAACGCCGCGUGAGUGAUGAAGGUCUUCGGAUCGUAAAACUCUGUUAUUAGGGAAGAACAAAUGUGUAAGUAACUAUGCACGUCUUGACGGUACCUAAUCAGAAAGCCACGGCUAACUACGUG
This 497-nucleotide ribosomal RNA is filed under the name uncultured bacterium. RNAcentral describes it as "partial 16S ribosomal RNA". It matches the Rfam family "Bacterial small subunit ribosomal RNA", at positions 28 to 507 of the family's 1533-position model. The record is from RNAcentral.